AUCGCUGCUGUAGCUGGACAAAGCAAGAAUUCUUGGUCUUUUGUUGGUAAAUCUGUAAAUGCCAUAAAUAUGCUCAAUUGCUCAAAAUUGACCAAAAGCAGAGCAUUACUUAGCUUCCUUUCUAACAAAGAUGGAUUUGAUAAGAAACAGUCGGUGUGAUGACAGCCCCAUUCCUAAUCACUUAAUCAGUUUCGAAAAUGGCUCACCCUUGCUAUCAGAAUUCGGUAGUAUCUCCGCACUAGUCCACUAGUUCAUGCACAACCAAAUAAGUCAUCUC
This 277-nucleotide unclassified non-coding RNA is filed under the name Hevea brasiliensis (rubber tree). Lineage: Eukaryota; Viridiplantae; Streptophyta; Magnoliopsida; Malpighiales; Euphorbiaceae. The record is from RNAcentral.